AUACGGAGGGAGCGAGCGUUAAUCGGAAUUACUGGGCGUAAAGCGCGCGUAGGCGGCUUUGUAAGUCGGAUGUGAAAUCCCCGGGCUCAACCUGGGAACUGCAUUCAAAACUGUUUAACUUGAGUAUGGUAGAGGGAAGUGGAAUUCCAGGUGUAGCGGUGAAAUUCGUAGAUAUCAGGAGGAACACCGGUGGCGAAGGCGACCACCUGGACGGAGACUGACGCUGAGGUGCGAAAGCGUGGGGAGCAAACAGGAUUAGAAACCCCAGUAGUCC
This 274-nucleotide ribosomal RNA is filed under the name uncultured bacterium. Its description in RNAcentral is "partial 16S ribosomal RNA". It matches the Rfam family "Bacterial small subunit ribosomal RNA", at positions 523 to 796 of the family's 1533-position model. The record is from RNAcentral.